AGUGAACGCUGGCGGUAGGCCUAACACAUGCAAGUCGAACGGCAGCGCAGUAAGAGCUUGCUCUUACGGGUGGCGAGUGGCGGACGGGUGAGGAAUACAUCGGAAUCUACUUUUUCGUGGGGGCUAACGUAGGGAAACUUACGCUAAUACCGCAUACGACCUACGGGUGAAAGCAGGGGAUCUUCGGACCUUGCGCGAUUGAAUGAGCCGAUGUCGGAUUAGCUAGUUGGCGGGGCAAAGGCCCACCAAGGCGACGAUCCGUAGCUGGUCUGAGAGGAUGAUAGCCCACCCUGGAACUGAGACACGGUCCAGACUCCUACGGGAGGCAGCAGUGGGGAAUAUUGGACAACGGGCGCAAGCCUGAUCCAGCCAUACCGCGUGGGUGAAGAAGGCCUUCGGGUUGUAAAGCCCUUUUGUUGGGAAAGAAAAGCAGCAGGUUAAGACCCCGCUGUUCUGACGGUACCCAAAGAAUAAGCACCGGCUAACUUCGUG
RNAcentral lists this ribosomal RNA (492 nucleotides) under uncultured bacterium. RNAcentral describes it as "partial 16S ribosomal RNA". It matches the Rfam family "Bacterial small subunit ribosomal RNA", at positions 29 to 507 of the family's 1533-position model. The record is from RNAcentral.